CCUACGGGGGGCAGCAGUGGGGAAUAUUGGGCAAUGGGCGCAAGCCUGACCCAGCAACGCCGCGUGAAGGACGAAGGCUUUCGGGUUGUAAACUUCUUUUCUCAGGGACGAAGCAAGUGACGGUACCUGAGGAAUAAGCCACGGCUAACUACGUGCCAGCAGCCGCGGUAAUACGUAGGUGGCAAGCGUUAUACGGAUUUACUGGGUGUAAAGGGCGUGUAGGCGGGAAAGCAAGUCAGAUGUGAAAACCAUGGGCUCAACCUGUGGACUGCAUUUGACACUGUUUUUCUUGAGUACUGGGGAGGCAGACGGAAUUCCUAGUGUAGCGGUGAAAUGCGUAGAUAUUAGGAGGAACACCAGUGGCGAAGGCGGUCUGCUGGACAGCAACUGACGCUGAGGCGCGAAAGCGUGGGGAGCAAACAGGAUUAGAUACCCCUGUAGUC
RNAcentral lists this ribosomal RNA (443 nucleotides) under uncultured bacterium. RNAcentral describes it as "partial 16S ribosomal RNA". It matches the Rfam family "Bacterial small subunit ribosomal RNA", at positions 338 to 795 of the family's 1533-position model. The record is from RNAcentral.